This is a long non-coding RNA of Hylaeus anthracinus, 923 nucleotides long. RefSeq lists it as uncharacterized. NCBI's taxonomy places the organism in Eukaryota, Metazoa, Arthropoda, Insecta, Hymenoptera, Colletidae. The record is from RefSeq and is a predicted model, not a curated record. The transcript has 2 exons.
UCUUAACUUUUCUCCUUUUAGUAGCUUUUUUAUGUAGAAACCAAAUGGAUAAAGCUUCAAUCUCAUCCAUUAUUUUAGAAAGGUUUUCACUAACUAACAACGCGUGUUUCUUAAACGAGAAGAUAUGUUUAACUGAAAAACAAAUGAUCAACACCGAGCUACGAAAUUAUUUGGAUACAGUAUCGCAUAAGUAUCUUGCUAGCAGAUGCGUAUCGCAUACGCGUAUUGCGAUACGCGUAUCGUCGUGUGAAAGAGCUCUUAGCCAAUAGGAGCUAAGCAAGCGCCGAGCGUCGUUCGUCGACUCUCGGAAUCAUUCGGUUCGGCAUGGCUCGUUGGCCAUCGAGCGUUGAGAGUCGAAACAGAUGUCAUCAUUCAUAACCUGCCAAGUGUCAAAACUUUUGACACUAUUGCAUUAUUAAUUACAUUUAUAUCAGCAACAUGUUUUCAAUUUAGACUUUUUAUGUAGAGCUUGUGGAAAUGAAAAGGGGCCACAGGAUUGGAGAUUAACAAAUUGCUGCCAGUAAAGUAAAAUGUAGAUCAAUUUUGAUUACAAGAUCCAUACCACCAAAGUGUUUUGAAUUUAGACUUUGUAUGCAGAGCUUAUACAAAUGAAGAGAACCACAGACUUGGAGGUUAUUCGUUAACAAAUUGUAGCAACUGUUGUAAAAUGUUUAUCCAUUUUCAUUACAAGGUAAGUGAUCAAAAUUUGAAUUGUCAGGUACCUUCAUUCGUACAGAAUAGAUCCAUACCACUAAAAUGUUUUUAAUUUAGACUUUUUAUGUAAAGCUUAUAGAAAUGGAGUCAUUUUCUCAUUUCAUCAUUAACAUUAUAAUUUCUUGCAGCAAGAAAAACAAUUGCAGGUAUAUAUAAUUAUUUAUAAAUUGAACGAAUAAGUGUUUAUAAUUAAUAAAUUAUAUGAAAUA